CAGUAGCCGCGGUAAUACGAAGGGUGCAAGCGUUACUCGGAAUUACUGGGCGUAAAGCGUGCGUAGGUGGUGGUUUAAGUCCGUUGUGAAAGCCCUGGGCUCAACCUGGGAAUUGCAGUGGAUACUGGGUCACUAGAGUGUGGUAGAGGAUAGUGGAAUUUCCGGUGUAGCAGUGAAAUGCGUAGAGAUCGGAAGGAACAUCUGUGGCGAAGGCGACUAUCUGGGCCAACGCUGACACUGAGGCACGAAAGCGUGGGGAGCAAACAGGAUUAGAUACCCGCGUAGUCCCUGUCUCUUAUAU
This 301-nucleotide ribosomal RNA is filed under the name uncultured bacterium. Its description in RNAcentral is "partial 16S ribosomal RNA". It matches the Rfam family "Bacterial small subunit ribosomal RNA", at positions 509 to 809 of the family's 1533-position model. The record is from RNAcentral.